AUACGGAGGGGGCUAGCGUUGUUCGGAAUUACUGGGCGUAAAGCGCGUGUAGGCGGAUCGUUAAGUCAAGGGUGAAAGCCCGGAGCUCAACUCCGGAAUUGCCCUUGAUACUGGCGAUCUAGAGGCCGGGAGAGGUGAGCGGAAUUCCCAGUGUAGAGGUGAAAUUCGUAGAUAUUGGGAGGAACACCAGUGGCGAAGGCGGCUCACUGGCCCGGUUCUGACGCUGAGACGCGAAAGCGUGGGGAGCAAACAGGAUUAGAAACCCUAGUAGUCC
This 274-nucleotide ribosomal RNA is filed under the name uncultured bacterium. RNAcentral's name for it is "partial 16S ribosomal RNA". It matches the Rfam family "Bacterial small subunit ribosomal RNA", at positions 523 to 796 of the family's 1533-position model. The record is from RNAcentral.